Molecule: transfer RNA, 92 nt
Filed under: Amycolatopsis acidiphila
Lineage: Bacteria; Bacillati; Actinomycetota; Actinomycetes; Pseudonocardiales; Pseudonocardiaceae
Description: tRNA-Pro
Source: RNAcentral
CCGCGGCGAGGCUCUCGCGAUGCCGGUCGGCGCUCGGGCCGCCGUUGACGGGCACGGUGUCGUCCAGCUGGUUCGGCGGCGGCGCCGGGGAC